Molecule: non-coding RNA, 344 nt
Organism: Lupinus albus (white lupine)
Lineage: Eukaryota; Viridiplantae; Streptophyta; Magnoliopsida; Fabales; Fabaceae
Source: the annotation of a GenBank genome assembly
UGUGCGAGACAAGAAGGAUUCACAACUGUUUAAUCAAAUAGGUGAAUGAUUUUGAUUUCACUGGAGGCAAGGUGUUACGGUACAAAACUUUGUCUACUAAAUUUUUGGGGAAGAAAAGUUGGCGUCCAAAUAGUUAGAUCGUAGAGGCUGGAAGCUGGAUUAUGGUCUUUGUUCUCCUUUUGAUUUUUGUUGAGUGGGUUUUGUAGGAGAUAUUUGUAGGUUUCCCUCUCUUUUUAGUUGUACUCUACAAUUUCUUUCUGUAUUUUUCUUUUUUUCCUUAAUAAAAUUUUGAAGUAAUGGAUAUUUUAUUAUGGUAAUCUCAUUUCAAUAGAUAUGAUUAAAUC